RNAcentral lists this ribosomal RNA (358 nucleotides) under uncultured bacterium. Its description in RNAcentral is "partial 16S ribosomal RNA". It matches the Rfam family "Bacterial small subunit ribosomal RNA", at positions 338 to 693 of the family's 1533-position model. The record is from RNAcentral.
CCUACGGGUGGCAGCAGUGAGGAAUAUUGGUCAAUGGGCGUAAGCCUGAACCAGCCAAGUCGCGUGAGGGAUGAAGGUUCUAUGGAUCGUAAACCUCUUUUAUAAGGGAAUAAAGUGCGGGAUGUGUCCCGUUUUGUAUGUACCUUAUGAAUAAGGAUCGGCUAACUCCGUGCCAGCAGCCGCGGUAAUACGGAGGAUCCGAGCGUUAUCCGGAUUUAUUGGGUUUAAGGGGUGCGUAGGCGGCCUUUUAAGUCAGCGGUGAAAGUCGGUGGCUAAACCAUAGAAUUGACGUUGAAACUGGGGGGUUUGAGUAUGUUGGAGGCAGGCGGAAUGCGUGGUGUAGCGGUGAAAGGCUUGG